CCCUUAGAUGUCCUGGGCCGCACGCGCGUUACACUGAUGCAUUCAACGAGCUUAUAACCUUGGCCGAGAGGUCUGGGCAAUCUUGUUAACGUGCAUCGUGAUAGGGAUAGAUUAUUGAAAUUAUUAAUCUUGAACGAGGAAUUCCUAGUAAACGCAGAUCAUCAAUCUGCAUUGAUUACGUCCCUGCCCUUUGUACACACCGCCCGUCGCACCUACCGAUUGGAUGGUCCGGUGAAGCCUCGGGAUUGUGGUUCUUGCCGCUUUAUUGUAGCGUGACCGCGAGAACUUGUCUAAACCUUAUCAUCUAGAGGAAGGUGAAGUCGUAACA
Molecule: ribosomal RNA, 328 nt
Filed under: uncultured eukaryote
Lineage: Eukaryota
Description: partial 18S ribosomal RNA
Rfam family: Eukaryotic small subunit ribosomal RNA
Source: RNAcentral